GAUGAACGCUGGCGGCGUGCCUAAUACAUGCAAGUCGAGCGAACAGAUGAGGAGCUUGCUCCUCUGACGUUAGCGGCGGACGGGUGAGUAACACGUGGAUAACCUACCUAUAAGACUGGGAUAACUUCGGGAAACCGGAGCUAAUACCGGAUAAUAUAUUGAACCGCAUGGUUCAAUAGUGAAAGACGGUUUUGCUGUCACUUAUAGAUGGAUCCGCGCCGCAUUAGCUAGUUGGUAAGGUAACGGCUUACCAAGGCAACGAUGCGUAGCCGACCUGAGAGGGUGAUCGGCCACACUGGAACUGAGACACGGUCCAGACUCCUACGGGAGGCAGCAGUAGGGAAUCUUCCGCAAUGGGCGAAAGCCUGACGGAGCCACGCCGCGUGAGUGAUGAAGGUCUUCGGAUCGUAAAACUCUGUUAUUAGGGAAGAACAAAUGUGUAAGUAACUAUGCACGUCUUGACGGUACCUAAUCAGAAAGCCCCGGCUAACUACGUG
Molecule: ribosomal RNA, 497 nt
Filed under: uncultured bacterium
Lineage: Bacteria
Description: partial 16S ribosomal RNA
Rfam family: Bacterial small subunit ribosomal RNA
Source: RNAcentral